This 441-nucleotide ribosomal RNA is filed under the name uncultured bacterium. Its description in RNAcentral is "partial 16S ribosomal RNA". It matches the Rfam family "Bacterial small subunit ribosomal RNA", at positions 339 to 795 of the family's 1533-position model. The record is from RNAcentral.
CUACGGGCCGCUGCAGUAGGGAAUUUUGCGCAAUGGACGAAAGUCUGACGCAGCAACGCCGCGUGAGUGAUGACGCCCUUAGGGGUGUAAAGCUCUGUCAAUAGGGAUGAAUAAAUGACAGUACCUAUAAAGGAAGCAUCGGCUAACUACGUGCCAGCAGCCGCGGUAAGACGUAGGAUGCAAGCGUUGUCCGGAUUUAUUGGGCGUAAAGAGUUCGUAGGUGGCAUGCAAAGUCUGAUGUUAAAGGCUGGGGCUCAACCCCAGUACGGCAUUGGAUACUGGCGAGCUAGAGUACGGUAGAGGCAAGGGGAAUUCCUAGUGUAGCGGUGAAAUGCGUAGAUAUUAGGAGGAACACCAGUGGCGAAAGCGCCUUGCUGGGCCGUAACUGACGCUGAGGAACGAAAGCCAGGGUAGCGAAUGGGAUUAGAUACCCUAGUAGUC